ACGGGGUGCAGCAGGCGCGAAACCUUUGCAAUACACGCAAGUGUGACAGGGCCAUCCCGAGUGCCGACCGCUGAGGUUGGCUUUUAAUCAGUCUAGAAAGCUGGGAGAAUAAGGAGAGGGCAAGUCUGGUGUCAGCCGCCGCGGUAAUACCAGCUCUCCGAGUGGUGUGGACGUUUAUUGGGCCUAAAGCAUCCGUAGCUGGCUGAACAAGUCCCCUGUUAAACCCAACGAUUUAAUCGUUGGCUUGCGGGGGAAACUGCUCGGCUAGGAGACGGGAGAGGCAGAUGGUAUUCUCGGGGUAGGGGUGAAAUCCUAUAAUCCCGAGAAGACCACCAGUGGCGAAGGCUGUCUGCUAGAACGCGCUCGACGGUGAGGGAUGAAAGCUGGGGGAGCGAACCGGAUUAGAUACCCGGGUAGUCCCAGCUGUAAACGAUGCAGGCUAGGUGUUAGGGCGGCUACGCGCCGCUCUAGUGCCGCAGGGAAGCUGUUAAGCCUGCCGCCUGGGGAGUACGGCCGCAAGGCUGAAACUUAAAGGAAUUGGCGGGGGAGCAC
RNAcentral lists this ribosomal RNA (552 nucleotides) under uncultured archaeon. RNAcentral's name for it is "bacterial SSU rRNA". It matches the Rfam family "Archaeal small subunit ribosomal RNA", at positions 325 to 879 of the family's 1478-position model. The record is from RNAcentral.